This 253-nucleotide ribosomal RNA is filed under the name uncultured bacterium. RNAcentral's name for it is "partial 16S ribosomal RNA". It matches the Rfam family "Bacterial small subunit ribosomal RNA", at positions 524 to 776 of the family's 1533-position model. The record is from RNAcentral.
UACGUAGGGUGCAAGCGUUGUCCGGAAUUAUUGGGCGUAAAGAGCUCGUAGGCGGUUUGUCGCGUCUGGUGUGAAAAUCCAGGGCUUAACCCUGGACCUGCAUCGGGUACGGGCAGACUAGAGUGCGGUAGGGGAGAUCGGAAUUCCUGGUGUAGCGGUGAAAUGCGCAGAUAUCAGGAGGAACACCGGUGGCGAAGGCGGUUCUCUGGGCAUGAUCUGACGCUGAGGAGCGAAAGUGUGGGGAGCGAACAGG